GACACCAUGAUCAAGAAGGUGGUUCACCCAGGGUGAGGCUCGGCCAUUGCACUCCGGUUGUGCUGACCCCUGCGACCAGAAAAUAUGCAG
Long non-coding RNA from Sinocyclocheilus grahami, 90 nucleotides. RefSeq lists it as uncharacterized. The record is from RefSeq and is a predicted model, not a curated record. The transcript has 3 exons. NCBI's taxonomy places the organism in Eukaryota, Metazoa, Chordata, Actinopteri, Cypriniformes, Cyprinidae.